CCUACGGGGGGCAGCAGUGAGGAAUAUUGGUCAAUGGACGAGAGUCUGAACCAGCCAAGUAGCGUGAAGGAUGACUGCCCUAUGGGUUGUAAACUUCUUUUAUAUGGGAAUAAAAUGUUCCACGUGUGGGAUUUUGUAUGUACCAUAUGAAUAAGGAUCGGCUAACUCCGUGCCAGCAGCCGCGGUAAUACGGAGGAUCCGAGCGUUAUCCGGAUUUAUUGGGUUUAAAGGGAGCGUAGGUGGUUUGUUAAGUCAGUUGUGAAAGUUUGCGGCUCAACCGUGAAAUUGCAGUUGAAACUGUCAGUCUUGAGUACAGUAGAGGUGGGCGGAAUGCGUGGUGUAGCGGUGAAAUGCUUAGAGAUCACGAAGAACUCCGAUUGCGAAGGCAGUUCACUGGACUGCAACUGACACUGAGGCUCGAAAGUGUGGGUAUCAAACAGGAUUAGAUACCCCAGUAGUC
This 460-nucleotide ribosomal RNA is filed under the name uncultured bacterium. Its description in RNAcentral is "partial 16S ribosomal RNA". It matches the Rfam family "Bacterial small subunit ribosomal RNA", at positions 338 to 795 of the family's 1533-position model. The record is from RNAcentral.